RNAcentral lists this ribosomal RNA (523 nucleotides) under uncultured bacterium. RNAcentral describes it as "partial 16S ribosomal RNA". It matches the Rfam family "Bacterial small subunit ribosomal RNA", at positions 28 to 523 of the family's 1533-position model. The record is from RNAcentral.
GACGAACGCUGGCGGCGUGCCUAAUACAUGCAAGUCGAACGCUUUUUCUUUCACCGGAGCUUGCUCCACCGAAGGAAAAAGAGGAGCAAACGGGUGAGUAACACGUGGGUAACCUACCUAUAAUCGGGGGAUACCAUUCGGAAACGGGUGCUAAUAACGCAUAAUAUAUUCUUCCGCAUGGAAGAAGAUUGAACGACGGCUCUACUGUCACUUAUAGAUGACCUUGCGGGGCAUCAUGUAGUUGGUGGGGUAAGGGCCUACCAAGACGAUGAUGCAUAUCCGACCUGAGAGGGUGAUCGGCCACAUUGGGACUGAGACACGGCCCAAACUCCUACGGGAGGCAGAAGUAGGGAAUCUUCCGCAAUGGGCGAAAGCCUGACGGAGCAAUGCCGCGUGAGUGAAGAAGGCCUUCGGGUCGUAAAACUCUGUUAUAAGAGAAGAACAAAUUGUAGAGUAACUGCUACAGUCUUGACGGUAUCUUAUCAGAAAGCCACGGCUAACUACGUGCCAGCCGCCGCAGUAA